GAUUGAAGUCAGUCAUACCAACGGGAAAUCAACCUUUUGAGUAUAAUUUUGGGAUGUUAAAGAGUUUAAAAGCCUUUGAUGUUUCAUAUAUUUUGCUUUUUUGGUGUACUUUCUUGUAACGGUAGGUUAACAUCGAUUUUGAAUAUUAUAAAAUGACUGGAGGAAUGAGGCUUCGAUCUUGUAUUGAAGUGUUAUAGCCUUUAGUAAAUGUAAUGAUCAAGAUCGAGGAUUGCAACGAAUAUCCUUUUUGGGCUAUCCGUUUGAUCUUUGAUACGUUGCCUUGGUACUUGAAAGCUUGCUUAUGGUAUUAAGGUAUU
This 317-nucleotide ribosomal RNA is filed under the name uncultured Glomeromycotina. Its description in RNAcentral is "LSU rRNA". Lineage: Eukaryota; Fungi; Glomeromycota. The record is from RNAcentral.